This 676-nucleotide long non-coding RNA is filed under the name Helianthus annuus (common sunflower). The record is from RNAcentral. Lineage: Eukaryota; Viridiplantae; Streptophyta; Magnoliopsida; Asterales; Asteraceae.
UUACGUAAUCCCUUGCACAGUCCGCACAGUUUGUUUUGUAAUGUUUCGGGGAAGGAUAUCAAACUUGUGAUGAGGGUGACUAGACUUCCAUCGGUUCCUUUUUAAUUAGAUCGACAGGGGAUCUUCUUAGUUAGGCCACCAAGGAGUCCUUUCAGCUAUAUCAUCACAUGAUAUCCCUAAUUUUUGGAUGAAUCUGUUUAGCUAGACCACUCAAGGGGUCUAAUUAUGAAGUAGUACUUUAUAAUCCGAGGGACUUAACUAUAACAUAGAAGUCCAUUGAGGAUUUUAAGUAAUACCUUUGGGCAUCCUACUAUGAAUCUCUUGUACACGGAUAUGUAAGAUUCUACGAAGAUUUGGAUAACAUAAUUUGGAUCACACAACAAUACAUAAGGAAACACAUAAGCACAUAGUCACAUAAUUGUUUAAUUUGAUCAUAAUUUGUUAUUAACUUGUUAUCGAUUGAAUACGGAUAUGGAAACCUGUCGACGGAUCUCAAUGUUCACUGGAAUCUAUCUGAGAAGAUAGAAAGAUCUCCCAAAAUUCGAUUUUUGAUUACAAGGAAUCACCACAUUCGAAUGAAGGUAUACAACAAUUAAAGACUUACGGGAAAUUCCUAGGUACCCUAUUAAGGAUUUAUAGUGGUACCUUGGGUAUUCGUCUUGUGUUGUAACCUGCG